UUUUUCGCCAUAUUCCAAAAAGCGGAGGAAAAGAAACCAACAGGGAUUGCCUCAGUAACGGCGAGUGAAGCGGCAAAAGCUCAAAUUUGAAAUCCCCCGGGAAUUGUAAUUUGAAGAGAUUUGGGUCCGGCCGGCGGGGGUUAAGUCCACUGGAAAGUGGCGCCACAGAGGGUGACAGCCCCGUGAACCCCUUCAACGCCCUCAUCCCAGAUCUCCAAGAGUCGAGUUGUUUGGGAAUGCAGCUCUAAGUGGGUGGUAAAUUCCAUCUAAAGCUAAAUACCGGCGAGAGACCGAUAGCGAACAAGUACAGUGAUGGAAAGAUGAAAAGCACUUUGAAAAGAGAGUGAAAAAGUACGUGAAAUUGUUGAAAGGGAAGGGCUUGCAAGCAGACACUUAACUGGGCCAGCAUCGGGGCGGCGGGGAAGACAAAAACCACCGGGGAAUGUCCCUUUGGAGGAUUUUAACCCCGGUCCUCAAUUUCAUUGUUGCCCCGAGGCCUGCAAUCUAAGGAUGCUGGCGAAUACGAAG
This 528-nucleotide ribosomal RNA is filed under the name Metschnikowia pulcherrima. RNAcentral's name for it is "partial large subunit ribosomal RNA". It matches the Rfam family "Eukaryotic large subunit ribosomal RNA", at positions 21 to 533 of the family's 3401-position model. The record is from RNAcentral. Lineage: Eukaryota; Fungi; Ascomycota; Pichiomycetes; Serinales; Metschnikowiaceae.